GAGUGUAGCGGUUAAGUUCACUCACUCUGCUUCAGCAGCCUGGGGUUGGCCAGUUUGGAUCCCAGGUGUGGACCUACGCACCACUUAUCAAGCCAUGCUGUGGCAGGCAUCGAACAUAUAAAAUAGAGGAAGAUGGUCACAGAUGUCAGCUCAGGGCCAAUCUGCCUCCACAAAAAGAAGAGGAUUGUUGGCAGAUGUUAGCUCAGGGCUAAUCUUUCUCCAAAGCAAACAAACCUAAAAAUCUUGAAACCCCCAGCUCACCCUAAGAUUCCCCAGCCAGUGGAGUACGUUACCCUCUGCUGUCUGAGGAGACAUGCUUUCCUUUGCUUGAAAACCCCGUAAUAACCUUAUUUGGAGGCACAUGCCUUGAAAGGGGAUGCUCAUUCUCCUCAAGACCCCACACUCAUCCCUUGUUACCGUUAAUUAGCUUUAUGACUAGGGUCGAUUCCCAGCAUGCUCCAGGGACAGGAAUAUGCUGUGACUUGGGAAGAAAUAACUUACACACUAAACAAAAGCUCAAGCUGAGAGCGGGGCUCGGAGGCCCUGCCUCCUGUUGGUCCCCAAGGCUGCCCCCAGACUGGGGAGGGGCUCUCCAGGUGAUUUUGAUUUGGCUGUCUGGAUGCUGAAGAAUUCCUUUAUUUAUUUAUUUUUAGUCCUUGACGUUCAAUAAUGGCUCACUAUUACUUUGGUUUGAACAGAAGUUCGUUUUAAGAACCUUGAAGACAGAUUUGUGUCCUCCGCAAGUCAAAGUCAAGGCAGCUGCUUCUGGGGGCUGUAGCACCGCUGCUAGAACCAAGAGGAAACAACGUGUCCAAAGCAGAGGGCUUGGUCAGCUGUGAGACGUAUGGAAAAGAGAGCAUCACCAAGGAUCCCUUUAUCUUUUAUCCCAUACCAGCUCUGCCCCCAGGAGUGGGAGAUUUCACCAUCAGACUCCAGAAAUUCUGGUCCCAAAGGCAAGAUGUCCCUACUGUGAGCCUGAUGUUUAAACAUGAAGUUCACCUGACUCCCCCUCUUCUGAUUUCAUGUCCUCAUGGCAAUUUUCUGGUGCCAGUGAAGGGCUGCUCAUGUAGAGAGAGAAUGCAAAAAAAAAAAAAAAAAAAAAAAAAAAAAAUAC
Molecule: long non-coding RNA, 1114 nt
Filed under: Equus asinus (donkey)
Lineage: Eukaryota; Metazoa; Chordata; Mammalia; Perissodactyla; Equidae
Description: lncRNA (ENSEASG00005032452.1)
Source: RNAcentral